UGGGGAAUAUUGCACAAUGGGGGAAACCCUGAUGCAGCGACGCCGCGUGAGCGAAGAAGGCUUUCGAGUCGUAAAGCUCUGUCCUAUGAGAAGAUAAUGACGGUAUCAUAGGAGGAAGCCCUGGCUAAAUACGUGCCAGCAGCCGCGGUAAUACGUAUGGGGCGAGCGUUGUCCGGAAUUAUUGGGCGUAAAUGGUACGUAGGCGGUUUUUUAAGUCAGGUGUCAAAGCGUUGAGCUUAACUCCAUUAAGCACUUGAAACUGAAAGACUUGAGUGAAGGAGAGGAAAGUUGAAUUCCUAGUGUAGCUGUGAACUGCGUAGAUAUUAGGAGGAAUACCGGUGGCGACGGCGACUUUCUGGACUUUUACUGACGCUCAGGUACGAAAGCGUGGGGAGCAAACAGG
RNAcentral lists this ribosomal RNA (403 nucleotides) under Verrucomicrobiota bacterium. RNAcentral describes it as "Verrucomicrobia bacterium partial 16S ribosomal RNA". It matches the Rfam family "Bacterial small subunit ribosomal RNA", at positions 355 to 776 of the family's 1533-position model. The record is from RNAcentral. Lineage: Bacteria; Pseudomonadati; Verrucomicrobiota.